Molecule: ribosomal RNA, 442 nt
Filed under: Drosophila nannoptera
Lineage: Eukaryota; Metazoa; Arthropoda; Insecta; Diptera; Drosophilidae
Description: partial 12S ribosomal RNA
Source: RNAcentral
UAUUAUUAAAAAUGUAAUUAAAAAUACUUAAGUAGUAAUAGUUAUGUUCUUGAAACUUAAAAAAUUUGGCGGUAUUUUAGUCUAUCCAGAGGAACCUGUUUUGUAAUCGAUAAUCCACGAUGGACCUUACUUAAAUUUGUUACCAGUUUAUAUACCGUCGUUAUUAGAAUAUUUUAUAAGAAUAAUAAUAUUCAAUCAUUUUUAUAAAAAUUUAUAUCAGAUCAAGGUGUAGCUUAUAUUUAAGUAUUAAUGGGUUACAAUAAAUUUAUUUAUAUGGAUAAAAUUAUGAAAAAAUUUUUGAAAGUGGAUUUGGUAGUAAAAUUAUAAAGAUAAAUAAUUUGAUUUUAGCUCUAAAAUAUGUACAUAUCGCCCGUCGCUCUUAUUAUUUAAGGUAAGAUAAGUCGUAACAUAGUAGAUGUACUGGAAAGUGUAUCUAGAAUGA